RNAcentral lists this ribosomal RNA (108 nucleotides) under Patescibacteria group bacterium. The record is from RNAcentral.
UCUGGUGGCAUGUCGCAAGGGCUACACCCGUUCUCAUUCCGAACACGGCAGUUAAGCCUUGCAGAGCCGAUGGUACUCCUUCGGGGGGAGAGUAGGUAGCCGCCAGAU